This is a ribosomal RNA of 434 nucleotides. It matches the Rfam family "Bacterial small subunit ribosomal RNA", at positions 341 to 792 of the family's 1533-position model.
ACGGAAGGCAGCAGUGGGGAAUAUUGCACAAUGGGGGAAACCCUGAUGCAGCGACGCUGCGUGAGUGAAGAAGUAUUUCGGUAUGUAAAGCUCUAUCAGCAGGGAAGAAAAUGACGGUACCUGACUAAGAAGCCCCGGCUAACUACGUGCCAGCAGCCGCGGUAAUACGUAGGUGGCGAGCGUUAUCCGGAAUUACUGGGUGUAAAGGGUGUGUAGGCGGGGAAGCAAGUCAGAUGUGAAAAUUAUGGGCUCAACUCAUAACCUGCAUUUGAAACUGUUUUUCUUGAGAGUGGGAGAGGUAAACGGAAUUCCUGGUGUAGUAGUGAAAUGCGUAGAUAUCAGGAGGAACACCGGUGGCGAAGGCGGUUUACUGGACCACAACUGACGCUGAGACACGAAAGCGUGGGGAGCAAACAGGAUUAGAUACCCUGGUA